RNAcentral lists this unclassified non-coding RNA (337 nucleotides) under soil metagenome. Its description in RNAcentral is "partial contains 5.8S ribosomal RNA, internal transcribed spacer 2, and large subunit ribosomal RNA". The stretch from base 1 to 120 matches the Rfam family "5.8S ribosomal RNA", at positions 35 to 154 of the family's 154-position model. The record is from RNAcentral.
GAUGAAGAACGUAGCGAAAUGCGAUAAGUAGUGUGAAUUGCAGAAUUCAGUGAAUCAUCAAAUCUUUGAACGCACAUUGCGCCCCUUGGUAUUCCAUGGGGCAUGCCUGUUCGAGCGUCAUUUGUACCUUCAAGCUCUGCUUGGUGUUGGGUGUUUGUCUCGCCUCUGCGUGUAGACUCGCCUCAAAACAAUUGGCAGCCGGCGUAUUGAUUUCGGAGCGCAGUACAUCUCGCGCUUUGCACUCAUAACGACGACGUCCAAAAGUACAUUUUUACACUCUUGACCUCGGAUCAGGUAGGGAUACCCGCUGAACUUAAGCAUAUCAAUGAGCGGAGGA